This is a long non-coding RNA of Sander lucioperca (pikeperch), 167 nucleotides long. RefSeq lists it as uncharacterized. NCBI's taxonomy places the organism in Eukaryota, Metazoa, Chordata, Actinopteri, Perciformes, Percidae. The transcript has 3 exons. The record is from RefSeq and is a predicted model, not a curated record.
GAAAUCCUUUCCAUAAUGUUGUCAGAAUAUUAAUCUGAGUCUGUCAGCGGCAAAACAGGUACUUUUAUGAACGUAAAUACAAGCUGGACAACUGACGUCCUAUUAACUCACAUUUUAGCUUGUUUCUCCGUUGCCAACUGCAGCGACCUGAUCUCUCUUGGUUCUGG